Molecule: unclassified non-coding RNA, 355 nt
Filed under: soil metagenome
Description: partial contains 5.8S ribosomal RNA, internal transcribed spacer 2, and large subunit ribosomal RNA
Rfam family: 5.8S ribosomal RNA (bases 1-120)
Source: RNAcentral
GAUGAAGAACGUAGCGAAAUGCGAUAAGUAGUGUGAAUUGCAGAAUUCAGUGAAUCAUCGAAUCUUUGAACGCACAUUGCGCCUUCUAGUAUUCUGGGAGGCAUGCCUGUUUGAGCGUCAUUAAACCUCUCUCAAGUAUGAUUACGUGGAUGUGAAGGAAGAGUACCUUAAACUUAAGGAGUGUUCUCCUUUGAAAUUGAUUAGCAGAUGGUAAUGUUAUUAAAUCCCUGAUGUUGUAAGAAAUAACAGUGGUUUUGUAGACUAUUAUCUAGAUUUAAAUUAUAAUUUUUAUUAUGGUUGACCUCAAAUCAGGUAAGGAUACCCGCUGAACUUAAGCAUAUCAAUAAGCGGAGGA